This 724-nucleotide long non-coding RNA is filed under the name Polistes fuscatus (common paper wasp). RNAcentral describes it as "uncharacterized LOC122524915". Lineage: Eukaryota; Metazoa; Arthropoda; Insecta; Hymenoptera; Vespidae. The record is from RNAcentral.
GAAGAAGGUAGUUGAAAAUUUGUUGUUACAACGUUUAUUAGACUUUAUUUAGAAAUACCAACGGGGGAAACAACGCGCGGCCCCGUUGUUAUUCGGCAAAUUGUUUAGUUACGAGAGAAAGUUUUCCCAUUCUAUUUUUUCGUUAUUUUGCGUGUGUGUUUACUUUGGAAGAGGAAGAGGAAGAAGAAGAAGAAAAAGAAUAAUAAUAAUAAGAAGAAGAAGACCGAGAGAGUGCGUCGUAUUAACGGAAUAAUUUCUUGAAAAUCUCUUUCUUCUUUUUUUCCCCCAUAACAUUUGUAAUGAGUAUGUAAAAAUUAAGGGAAAAAAAACGAGGAAAAGAGUAAGAAAAAUUAGAAAAGGAGAGCUAGCUAGGUAGCCAGCUUGUUAACAACGUCAACAUUCGAGAGUUCGUCGAGGCACGUUCGUCGUCGUCGAAAGUUUCAUUCAGGUGCCGCCAUUAGCGAGUUUUGAAAGACAGAGUGAGAGACAGGUAGAAGGAAGGGGAGAGAAGACGGGGAUUGGAAGAGAGGGAAAGGGGGCAAGGGCUAUGUCCAAGCUGACCAGGUAUCCUCGUCCUUUCUUUCGCACGGCAACGGAAUUAUCGACGCACUUGGCGUGCUUUACGACCGGCAGAGGCCCGUUACGGAAUCGCCGGAACGGAGAAUGGCCAAAGAGGAGGAAAGAGACAAGGACUAAAAAAAGAAGAGAAUACGGCCAACGGAUC